This 270-nucleotide long non-coding RNA is filed under the name Drosophila guanche. Lineage: Eukaryota; Metazoa; Arthropoda; Insecta; Diptera; Drosophilidae. The record is from RNAcentral.
UGACCUUUUACUUUGACAAAGUCUGCAAUCUGCAAUCUUUUCGCAUACACGGAAUUCCCACCGUUUGCCGCAGUCCACAUAGAGCACAAGUUUUGCCGCUUGGAUGAUUUACGACCUGGAAAUCUCAUACACUGAACUCGUGGAGAGCCAAGGGAAUGUUGAAUUCGCUUAGAUGAAUGUAACUGCGAGUCUUCGUGUACUCUUGAUAAAGCAAACUUUAUUUCAGAGAUUAAUAUAGCAAUUUCCAUCGUUUGUAUUCGUUGGGAUAAU